GACGAACGCUGGCGGCGCGCCUAACACAUGCCAGUCGAACGAGCGAGCGAGAGCUUGCUUUCUCGAGCGAGUGGCGAACGGGUGAGUAACGCGUGAGGAACCUGCCUCAAAGAGGGGGACAACAGUUGGAAACGACUGCUAAUACCGCAUAAGCCCACGACCCGGCAUCGGGUAGAGGGAAAAGGAGCAAUCCGCUUUGAGAUGGCCUCGCGUCCGAUUAGCUAGUUGGUGAGGUAACGGCCCACCAAGGCGACGAUCGGUAGACGGACUGAGAGGUUGAACGGACACAUUGGGACUGAGACACGGCCCAGACUCCUACGGGAGGCAGCAGUGGGGGAUAUUGCACAAUGGGGGAAACCCUGAUGCAGCGACGCCGCGUGGAGGAAGAAGGUCUUCGGAUUAUAAACUCCUGUUGUUGAGGAAGAUAAUGACGGUACUCAACAAGGAAGUGACGGCUAACUACGUG
This 466-nucleotide ribosomal RNA is filed under the name uncultured bacterium. RNAcentral describes it as "partial 16S ribosomal RNA". It matches the Rfam family "Bacterial small subunit ribosomal RNA", at positions 28 to 507 of the family's 1533-position model. The record is from RNAcentral.